AAUCUCUUAGAAAUAAGAGAGUGCCUCAUUAGAGGAGCCUGGUGACAGGUGCUGCAUGGCUGUCGUCAGCUCGUGUCGUGAGAUGUUGGGUUAAGUCCCGCAACGAGCGCAACCCUUGCCUUUAGUUGCCAUCAUUAAGUUGGGCACUCUAGAGGGACUGCCGGUGUCAAACCGGAGGAAGGUGGGGAUGACGUCAAGUCCUCAUGGCCUUUAUGACCAGGGCUACACACGUACUACAAUGGCAUGUACAAAGGGCAGCCACUUCGCAAGAAGGAGCGAAUCCUUAAAACAUGUCUCAGUCCGGAUUGGAGUCUGCAACUCGUCUCCAUGAAGUUGGAAUCGCUAGUAAUCGUAGAUCAGCAUGCUACGGUGAAUACGUUCCCGGGCCUUGUACACACCGCCCGUCACACCACGGGAGUUGGUUGUACCAGAAGUAGUUGAGCGAACCUUUCGAGGACGCAGACUACCAAGGUAUGGCUGGUAACUGGGGUGAAGUCGUAACAAGGUA
This 508-nucleotide ribosomal RNA is filed under the name uncultured bacterium. RNAcentral describes it as "bacterial SSU rRNA". It matches the Rfam family "Bacterial small subunit ribosomal RNA", at positions 994 to 1498 of the family's 1533-position model. The record is from RNAcentral.